This 473-nucleotide ribosomal RNA is filed under the name uncultured bacterium. RNAcentral describes it as "SSU rRNA". It matches the Rfam family "Bacterial small subunit ribosomal RNA", at positions 26 to 518 of the family's 1533-position model. The record is from RNAcentral.
AGGAUAAACGCUGGCGGCGUGCAUGAGACAUGCAAGUCGAACGGACUUCUCGGGCUUGCUCGAGAAGUUAGUGGCGGACGGCUGAGUAACGCGUAGGUGACCUACCCCGAAGUGGGGAAUAACUGCCCGAAAGGGUGGCUAAUACCGCAUGUGAUCGUUCAUUCGAUUGAUCGAUCAAAGCAGUAAUGCGCUUCGGGAGGGGCCUGCGUCCGAUUAGCUCGUUGGUGGGGUAAUGGCUUACCAAGGCGACGAUCGGUAGGUGGUCUGAGAGGACGAUCACCCAGACUGGGACUGAGACACGGCCCAGACUCCUACGGGAGGCAGCAGUCGGGAAUUUUGCGCAAUGGACGAAAGUCUGACGCAGCAACGCCGCGUGAGGGAUGAAGGCCUUCGGGUUGUAAACCUCUUUUAUCAGGGAAGAUAAUGACGGUACCUGAUGAAUAAGUCACGGCUAACUACGUGCCAGCAGCCGC